RNAcentral lists this ribosomal RNA (2005 nucleotides) under Cutibacterium acnes HL110PA3. RNAcentral describes it as "bacterial LSU rRNA". It matches the Rfam family "Bacterial large subunit ribosomal RNA", at positions 269 to 2139 of the family's 2925-position model. Lineage: Bacteria; Bacillati; Actinomycetota; Actinomycetes; Propionibacteriales; Propionibacteriaceae. The record is from RNAcentral.
UCAAGCCGGCAGGUGUUGCAUGUGCGGGGUUGUGGGGGCCUUGUGGUUCUGCUGCCGCAGGAUUGGCCAGUGAGAAAUGUUGCGUGAAGGUGAAGCGUCUGGGAAGGCGUACCGGAGUGGGUGAGAGUCCUGUAACUGUAAGCGUGGCACUGGUGUGGGGUUGCCCCGAGUAGCGUGGGACUCGUGGAAUUUCGCGUGAAUCUGGCGGGACCACCCGUCAAGCCUAAAUACUCCUUGGUGACCGAUAGUGGAUGAGUACCGUGAGGGAAGGGUGAAAAGUACCCCGGGAGGGGAGUGAAAGAGUUCCUGAAACCGGUCGCAUGCAAGCCGUCAGAGCCUGUGUGGUGAUGGCGUGCCUUUUGAAGAAUGAGCCUGCGAGUUAGUGAUGCGUGGCGAGGUUAACCCGUGGUGGGGGAGUCGUAGCGAAAGCGAGUCCGAUAAGGGCGUGAGUCGCGUGUUCUAGACCCGAAGCGGUGUGAUCUAUCCAUGGCCAGGAUGAAGCGUCGGUAAGACGUCGUGGAGGUCCGAACCCACUUCAGUUGAAAAUGGAGGGGAUGAGUUGUGGAUAGGGGUGAAAGGCCAAUCAAACACCGUGAUAGCUGGUUCUCCCCGAAAUGCAUUUAGGUGCAGCGUUGCGUGGUUCUUGUUGGAGGUAGAGCACUGGAUGGUCUAGGGGGCUUAUCGGCUUACCGAAAUCAGCCAAACUCCGAAUGCUGGCAAGUGUAGCGUGGCAGUGAGACGGCGGGGGAUAAGCUUCGUCGUCGAGAGGGAAACAGCCCAGAUCAUCAGCUAAGGCCCCUAAGUGGUGACUCAGUGGGAAAGGAUGUGGAGUUGCGUAGACAACCAGGAGGUUGGCUUGGAAGCAGCCAUCCUUGAAAGAGUGCGUAAUAGCUCACUGGUCAAGUGAUUCCGCGCCGAUAAUGUAGCGGGGCUUAAGUUAUCCGCCGAAGCUGUGGCAACCUGUGUGGUUGGGUAGGGGAGCGUCGUGUCAGUGGUGAAGCUGCCGGGUGACUGUGUGGUGGAGUUGAUGCGAGUGAGAAUGCAGGCAUGAGUAGCGUGUGACGGGUGGGAAUCCCGUCCGCCGAUUAUCCAAGGGUUCCAGGGUCAAGUUUGUCUGCCCUGGGUGAGUCGGGUCCUAAGGCGAGGCCGACAGGCGUAGUCGAUGGGUAACCAGUUGAUAUUCUGGUACCGGCUUGUCACCGUCCGUGUCGGGGUGUGUGAUGCUAAGCAUGUGAGCUUGUCUUGGGAGUGUUUUUGAUGCUUCUGGGGUGGGUGAGUGUGUGAACCGAUCAUGUAGUAGGCAAGCUGCGGAGGGACGCAGUGAGGUAGCUCAUCCCCGGUGAUGGUUGUCCGGGGCUAAGUGUGUGGACUGUCUGGUAGGUAAAUCCGCUGGGCGUGAAGGUUGAGGCAUGAUGGGGAGCCCACGGUUGUGGGUGAGUGAGUGAUCCUGUACUGUCGAGAAAAGCUUCGUGAGCGAGGUGGCGGGUCCGCCCGUACCCUAAACCGACACUGGUGGAUAGGUAGAGUAUACCGAGGCGAUCGAGUGAAUCGUGGUGAAGGAACUCGGCAAAAUGCCCCCGUAACUUUGGGAUAAGGGGGACCUGAGCUGUCGUGCACCCGUGCGGUGUGGUGGCGGUGAGGGGCGCAGAGUCCAGGGGGAAACGACUGUUUACCAAAAACACAGGUCCGUGCGAAGUCGUAAGACGAUGUAUACGGACUGACUCCUGCCCGGUGCUGGAAGGUUAAGGGGAACUGUGAGUGUGAUGCGUAGCGGUGAACUUAAGCCCCAGUAAACGGCGGUGGUAACUAUAACCAUCCUAAGGUAGCGAAAUUCCUUGUCGGGUAAGUUCCGACCUGCACGAAUGGAGUAACGAUUUCCCUACUGUCUCCACCAUGAACUCGGUGAAAUUGCAUUACGAGUAAAGAUGCUCGUUACGCGCAGCAGGACGGAAAGACCCCGGGACCUUUACUAUAGUUUGGUAUUGGUGAUUGGGACGGUUUGUGU